CACGUAGGGCGCAAGCGUUGUCCGGAAUUAUUGGGCGUAAAGAGCUCGUAGGCGGUCUGUCGCGUCUGCUGUGAAAAUCCAGGGCUCAACCCUGGACCUGCAGUGGGUACGGGCAGACUAGAGUGCGGUAGGGGAGAUCGGAAUUCCUGGUGUAGCGGUGAAAUGCGCAGAUAUCAGGAGGAACACCGGUGGCGAAGGCGGAUCUCUGGGCCGUAACUGACGCUGAGGAGCGAAAGCAUGGGGAGCGAACAGG
This 253-nucleotide ribosomal RNA is filed under the name uncultured bacterium. RNAcentral's name for it is "partial 16S ribosomal RNA". It matches the Rfam family "Bacterial small subunit ribosomal RNA", at positions 524 to 776 of the family's 1533-position model. The record is from RNAcentral.